Molecule: ribosomal RNA, 2939 nt
Filed under: Priestia megaterium
Lineage: Bacteria; Bacillati; Bacillota; Bacilli; Caryophanales; Bacillaceae
Description: bacterial LSU rRNA
Rfam family: Bacterial large subunit ribosomal RNA
Source: RNAcentral
AUGGUUAAGUUAGAAAGGGCGCACGGUGAAUGCCUUGGCACUAGGAGCCGAUGAAGGACGGGACUAACACCGAUAUGCUUCGGGGAGCUGUAAGUGAGCUUUGAUCCGGAGAUUUCCGAAUGGGGAAACCCACUGUUCGUAAUGGAACAGUAUCUUUAUCUGAAUACAUAGGAUAUUGAAGGCAGACCCGGGGAACUGAAACAUCUAAGUACCCGGAGGAAGAGAAAGCAAAUGCGAUUUCCUGAGUAGCGGCGAGCGAAACGGAAUUAGCCCAAACCAAGAGGCUUGCCUCUUGGGGUUGUAGGACACUCUAUACGGAGUUACAAAGGAACGAAGUAAAUGAAGCGACCUGGAAAGGUCCGUCGAAGAAGGUAACAACCCUGUAGUUGAAACUUCGUUCCCUCUUGAGUGGAUCCUGAGUACGGCGGAACACGUGAAAUUCCGUCGGAAGCUGGGAGGACCAUCUCCCAAGGCUAAAUACUACCUAGUGACCGAUAGUGAACCAGUACCGUGAGGGAAAGGUGAAAAGCACCCCGGAAGGGGAGUGAAAGAGAUCCUGAAACCGUGUGCCUACAAGUAGUCAGAGCCCGUUAACGGGUGAUGGCGUGCCUUUUGUAGAAUGAACCGGCGAGUUACGAUCCCAUGCAAGGUUAAGCUGAUAAGGCGGAGCCGUAGCGAAAGCGAGUCUGAAUAGGGCGUUUAGUAUGUGGUUGUAGACCCGAAACCAGGUGAUCUACCCAUGUCCAGGGUGAAGUUCAGGUAACACUGAAUGGAGGCCCGAACCCACGCACGUUGAAAAGUGCGGGGAUGAGGUGUGGGUAGCGGAGAAAUUCCAAUCGAACCUGGAGAUAGCUGGUUCUCUCCGAAAUAGCUUUAGGGCUAGCCUCAUGUUGUGAGAGUCUUGGAGGUAGAGCACUGAUUGGACUAGGGGCCCCCAACGGGUUACCGAAUUCAGUCAAACUCCGAAUGCCAAAGACUUAUCCAUGGGAGUCAGACUGCGAGUGAUAAGAUCCGUAGUCAAAAGGGAAACAGCCCAGACCACCAGCUAAGGUCCCCAAGUAUACGUUAAGUGGAAAAGGAUGUGGAGUUGCUUAGACAACCAGGAUGUUGGCUUAGAAGCAGCCACCAUUUAAAGAGUGCGUAAUAGCUCACUGGUCGAGUGACUCUGCGCCGAAAAUGUACCGGGGCUAAACGUAUCACCGAAGCUGUGGAUUGACAUCUUAGAUGUCAGUGGUAGGAGAGCGUUCUAAGUGCUGUGAAGUCAGACUGUAAGGACUGGUGGAGCGCUUAGAAGUGAGAAUGCCGGUAUGAGUAGCGAAAGACAAGUGAGAAUCUUGUCCACCGAAUGCCUAAGGUUUCCUGAGGAAGGCUCGUCCGCUCAGGGUUAGUCGGGACCUAAGCCGAGGCUGAAAAGCGUAGGCGAUGGCCAACAGGUUGAUAUUCCUGUACCACCUCCCCGCCGUUUGAGUAAUGGGGGGACGCAGUAGGAUAGGGUAAGCGCGCUGCUGGAUAUGCGCGUUCAAGCAGUUAGGCUGAUGAGUAGGCAAAUCCGCUCAUCAUAAAGGCUGAGCUGUGAUGACGAGGGAAUUAUAGUACCGAAGUUCCUGAUUCCACACUGCCAAGAAAAGCCUCUAGCGAGGCGGGAGGUGCCCGUACCGCAAACCGACACAGGUAGGCGAGGAGAGAAUCCUAAGGUGAUCGAGAGAACUCUCGUUAAGGAACUCGGCAAAAUGACCCCGUAACUUCGGGAGAAGGGGUGCUCUGGUAGGGUGUAUAGCCCGAGAGAGCCGCAGUGAAUAGGCCCAGGCGACUGUUUAGCAAAAACACAGGUCUCUGCGAAGCCGCAAGGCGAAGUAUAGGGGCUGACGCCUGCCCGGUGCUGGAAGGUUAAGAGGAGGGGUUAUCCUUUGGGAGAAGCUCUGAAUCGAAGCCCCAGUAAACGGCGGCCGUAACUAUAACGGUCCUAAGGUAGCGAAAUUCCUUGUCGGGUAAGUUCCGACCCGCACGAAAGGCGUAACGAUCUGGGCACUGUCUCAACGAGAGACUCGGUGAAAUUAUAGUACCUGUGAAGAUGCAGGUUACCCGCGACAGGACGGAAAGACCCCGUGGAGCUUUACUGUAGCCUGAUAUUGAAUUUUGGUACAGCUUGUACAGGAUAGGUAGGAGCCUGAGAAGCCGGAGCGCUAGCUUCGGUGGAGGCGUCGGUGGGAUACUACCCUGGCUGUAUUGAAAUUCUAACCCGCGGCCCUGAUCGGGCCGGGAGACAGUGUCAGGUGGGCAGUUUGACUGGGGCGGUCGCCUCCUAAAAUGUAACGGAGGCGCCCAAAGGUUCCCUCAGAAUGGUUGGAAAUCAUUCGUAGAGUGUAAAGGCACAAGGGAGCUUGACUGCGAGACCUACAAGUCGAGCAGGGACGAAAGUCGGGCUUAGUGAUCCGGUGGUUCCGCAUGGAAGGGCCAUCGCUCAACGGAUAAAAGCUACCCCGGGGAUAACAGGCUUAUCUCCCCCAAGAGUCCACAUCGACGGGGAGGUUUGGCACCUCGAUGUCGGCUCAUCGCAUCCUGGGGCUGUAGUCGGUCCCAAGGGUUGGGCUGUUCGCCCAUUAAAGCGGUACGCGAGCUGGGUUCAGAACGUCGUGAGACAGUUCGGUCCCUAUCCGUCGUGGGCGUAGGAAAUUUGAGAGGAGCUGUCCUUAGUACGAGAGGACCGGGAUGGACACACCGCUGGUGUACCAGUUGUCUUGCCAAAGGCAUCGCUGGGUAGCUAUGUGUGGACGGGAUAAGUGCUGAAAGCAUCUAAGCAUGAAGCCCCCCUCAAGAUGAGAUUUCCCAUAGCGCAAGCUAGUAAGAUCCCUGAAAGAUGAUCAGGUUGAUAGGUCAGAGGUGGAAGCGUGGCGACAUGUGUAGCUGACUGAUACUAAUCGAUCGAGGACUUAACCAAA